RNAcentral lists this unclassified non-coding RNA (331 nucleotides) under soil metagenome. RNAcentral's name for it is "partial contains 5.8S ribosomal RNA, internal transcribed spacer 2, and large subunit ribosomal RNA". The stretch from base 1 to 120 matches the Rfam family "5.8S ribosomal RNA", at positions 35 to 154 of the family's 154-position model. The record is from RNAcentral.
GAUGAAGAACGUAGCGAAAUGCGAUAAGUAAUGUGAAUUGCAGAAUUCAGUGAAUCAUCGAAUCUUCGAACGCACAUUGCGCUCGCCAGUAUUCUGGCGAGCAUGCCUGUUCGAGCGUCAUUUCAACCAUCAAGCUCUGCUUGCGUUGGGGAUCCGCGUCUGACGCGGUCCCUCAAAAACAGUGGCGGGCUCGCUAGUCACACCGAGCGUAGUAACUCUACAUCGCUAUGGUCGUGCGGCGGGUUCUUGCCGUAAAACCCCCAAUUUCUAAGGUUGACCUCGGAUCAGGUAGGAAUACCCGCUGAACUUAAGCAUAUCAAUAAGCGGAGGA